Molecule: non-coding RNA, 792 nt
Organism: Danio rerio (zebrafish)
Lineage: Eukaryota; Metazoa; Chordata; Actinopteri; Cypriniformes; Danionidae
Source: Ensembl
AAUCACCUCUAACAGAUGACCUAGUCUGUCUUAUAUUGUCCUUGCCGACAAUCACACAUUGUUUGAGGGGUGGUGGUGCAAGACCAUGAAAUAUUUUAUACAUUAAACACACAUCAGCAUAAAAUAAGAAACUGUCAAAUGUUAGUAAUUUUUGUUGUGCAAUACAGUUGCAAUGAUGAUAUCUCCUUGGCUUUUUAGCUAAAAUUUUAACAGUUUGUUUAUAUAAAACAUACAAUGGUUUUAAUGUUGUAAUGUUCGUAUGCGACCAGCUUGUAGCACAAUAAGAUAAAUGAGGUAAAAUCAUUGUAUUCAUAAAAAGUUUAGCAGCAGCCAUAGGUAACUGAUGCCUAAUGUUUCUAUAGAUCCUCAGGCUUGCUCUAGCACUUUUGGAAACCUUCUUAAUGUGUUUUUUUUUUUUUAUUUAAAUUGGAGUCAAUAAUUAUACCUAAAUAUUUAAAAUGAUCAACAAUAUUUAUUACUUCUCCAUUAACUAAAAUAUCUGAGCAAUGCUCCUCAUUUUUCUGAAUUGAAAAAAACAUCCCCACAGUUUUACUUACAUUGAGGGUAAGACAUGAACGAUAUAACCAAUCUGAAACCUUUUUGAGUGCAGCAGUUAGUUUUUUAGCAGCAUGUUCUUUGGUUUUAGCGUGAGUAUAUACUACCAUGUCGUCUGCAUACAUUUGAACCUGAACUUCUGGACACACUGUAGGCAGAUCAUUAAUGUAUAAACUAAACAAAAUUGGUCCAAGAAUUGAUCCUUGUGGAACUCCAAAAUUACAAUUGAUGUAUGGU